Molecule: ribosomal RNA, 292 nt
Filed under: uncultured prokaryote
Description: partial 16S ribosomal RNA
Rfam family: Bacterial small subunit ribosomal RNA
Source: RNAcentral
GUGUCAGCCGCCGCGGUAAUACGAAGGGGGCUAGCGUUGCUCGGAAUUACUGGGCGUAAAGGGAGCGUAGGCGGACAUUUAAGUCAGGGGUGAAAUCCCAGAGCUCAACUCUGGAACUGCCUUUGAUACUGGGUGUCUUGAGUAUGAUAGAGGUAUGUGGAACUCCGAGUGUAGAGGUGAAAUUCGUAGAUAUUCGGAAGAACACCAGUGGCGAAGGCGACAUACUGGAUCAUUACUGACGCUGAGGCUCGAAAGCGUGGGGAGCAAACAGGAUUAGAAACCCCAGUAGUCC